GGUCUGGUGGUCUAGCGGUAUGAUUCUCGCUUAGGGUCCACCCUAACUGCUCCUGUUUGCGAGAGGUCCCGGGUUCAAUCCCCGGCCAGACCC
Non-coding RNA from Xylaria nigripes, 93 nucleotides. The record is from the annotation of a GenBank genome assembly. Lineage: Eukaryota; Fungi; Ascomycota; Sordariomycetes; Xylariales; Xylariaceae.